UCAUAACUGUUCAGCAGAGAAGAGGGGAAACCAAAUCCUGUGUCCUAAAGCGUGCAAAGAAGCUUCUGGAUCUGUGUUGCAGACAACUGUCUUUGUUUCAUCUACCUAUUAGGAGAAAACUUAGCUGUUUCUCAUCAGAGUACAUCAAAUACAACACUCCUUCUGAAUCAGACAAUUUAUUUAGAAAAACCAAUUCCCGCGUCAUAACUGGAACCUCAGUCUGUGGUCUCUCUGUAAAUCUAAAAUACAUUAAUCCCAGGGAUGAGCAACCAGAGAUUCAGAUGAAUAUGGAGCACUCAUCAGCCCAACUUCCUUGCUUUUUGGUCUUAUUUGGUUUGUCCCGCCUUUUCUUUUUCCUUGUUUUUUGACUUCUAUUGUAUCCCAAAUAUGACCUUUUCUCGUAGCAGAAAGAGAAGUGCUUUUAAAAUAAGUAUUUAUGGGGUUUUUUUUUAAAUAAUCUGCAGAGAAACUCAUUAAUCUAGAAUUCAUGAUUAUAGUUGAACAUUCAGAUUGAUUGAACUUAAACUGACUUUUUUGCUGUUCCAAAAGAACUUUUCUUAUGAUUUAUUUCAACAAAACUCUUUGUCACCUUUCUUCUUGUGCCAAGUCAGUAGUCCAGGAAAGCUUGUGUUUUCUGCUGCCUUGGGUGACAGGAUUUGUAGCCACAUAUAUAAAUUUAAUCCAGCAAUAGGUUUUUAUCUGUGGUGUUAGUCGCACCAUCAUUCAUCUUAUGAUCACCUAUUACAAAAAAAAAACUGAUUAAGCUGCAAGAUAUAACACUUAAUACUUAAAUAUGGA
RNAcentral lists this long non-coding RNA (798 nucleotides) under Cyanistes caeruleus (blue tit). RNAcentral's name for it is "lncRNA (ENSCCEG00000019054.1)". The record is from RNAcentral. Lineage: Eukaryota; Metazoa; Chordata; Aves; Passeriformes; Paridae.